UGCAAGUCGAACGAUGAAGCCUAGCUUGCUGGGUGGAUUAGUGGCGAACGGGUGAGUAACACGUGAGCAACGUGCCCGAGACUCUGGAAUAACUACCGGAAACGGUGGCUAAUACUGGAUAUGUGCCAGGGAGGCAUCUCCUCUGGUUGGAAAGAUUUUUCGGUUUCGGAUCGGCUCACGGCCUAUCAGCUUGUUGGUGGGGUAAUGGCCUACCAAGGCGACGACGGGUAGCCGGCCUGAGAGGGUGACCGGCCACACUGGGACUGAGACACGGCCCAGACUCCUACGGGAGGCAGCAGUGGGGAAUAUUGCACAAUGGGCGCAAGCCUGAUGCAGCAACGCCGCGUGAGGGAUGACGGCCUUCGGGUUGUAAACCUCUUUUAGUAGGGAAGAAGCGAAAGUGACGGUACCUGCAGAAAAAGCACCGGCUAACUACGUGCCAGCAGCCGCGGUAAUACGUAGGGUGCAAGCGUUGUCCGGAAUUAUUGGGCGUAAAGAGCUCGUAGGCGGUUUGUCGCGUCUGCUGUGAAAUCCCGAGGCUCAACCUCGGGCCUGCAGUGGGUACGGGCAGACUUGAGUGCGGUAGGGGAGAUUGGAAUUCCUGGUGUAGCGGUGGAAUGCGCAGAUAUCAGGAGGAACACCGAUGGCGAAGGCAGAUCUCUGGGCCGUUACUGACGCUGAGGAGCGAAAGCAUGGGGAGCGAACAGGAUUAGAUACCCUGGUAGUCCAUGCCGUAAACGUUGGGCGCUAGAUGUGGGGACCAUUCCACGGUUUCUGUGUCGUAGCUAACGCAUUAAGCGCCCCGCCUGGGGAGUACGGCCGCAAGGCUAAAACUCAAAGGAAUUGACGGGGGCCCGCACAAGCGGCGGAGCAUGCGGAUUAAUUCGAUGCAACGCGAAGAACCUUACCAAGGCUUGACAUAUACCGGAAACUUCCAGAGAUGGUUGCCCUGCUUGCAGUCGGUAUACAGGUGGGUGCAUGGGUUGUCGUCAGCUCGUGUCGUGAGAUGUUCCGGUUAAGUCCGGCAACGAAGCGCAACCCUUCGUCCUUAUGUUGCCAGCACCGUUAUGGUGGG
Molecule: ribosomal RNA, 1075 nt
Filed under: Pseudoclavibacter sp. MRSA54B1_13_2E
Lineage: Bacteria; Bacillati; Actinomycetota; Actinomycetes; Micrococcales; Microbacteriaceae
Description: bacterial SSU rRNA
Rfam family: Bacterial small subunit ribosomal RNA
Source: RNAcentral